RNAcentral lists this ribosomal RNA (220 nucleotides) under uncultured Glomus. Its description in RNAcentral is "partial small subunit ribosomal RNA". It matches the Rfam family "Eukaryotic small subunit ribosomal RNA", at positions 591 to 818 of the family's 1831-position model. The record is from RNAcentral. Lineage: Eukaryota; Fungi; Glomeromycota; Glomeromycetes; Glomerales; Glomeraceae.
CCAAUAGCGUAUAUUAAAGUUGUUGCAGUUAAAAAGCUCGUAGUUGAAUUUCGGGACUAAUAUGUCGGUCGUACUUUGUACGUACUAGCAUUAUUGGUUUCUCCCUUCUGACGAACCACGAUGUCAUUAAUUUGGUGUCAUGGGAAAUCAGGACUGUUACUUUGAAAAAAUUAGAGUGUUUAAAGCAAGCUCGCGCUUGAAUACAUUAGCAUGGAGUAAU